UACAGAGGGUGCAAGCGUUAAUCGGAAUUACUGGGCGUAAAGCGUGCGUAGACGGUUGCGUAAGUCAGAUGUGAAAGCCCCGGGCUCAACCUGGGAAUUGCAUUUGAGACUGCGUAGCUAGGGUGCGGAAGAGGGAAGCGGAAUUUCCGGUGUAGCGGUGAAAUGCGUAGAUAUCGGAAGGAACACCAGUGGCGAAAGCGGCUUCCUGGUCCAGCACCGACGUUCAGGCACGAAAGCCAGGGUAGCGAACGGG
This 253-nucleotide ribosomal RNA is filed under the name uncultured bacterium. RNAcentral describes it as "partial 16S ribosomal RNA". It matches the Rfam family "Bacterial small subunit ribosomal RNA", at positions 524 to 776 of the family's 1533-position model. The record is from RNAcentral.